GGAGGAAUACCCAAGUCUGGCUGAAGGGAUCGGUCUUGAAAACCGACAGGCGGGUCAAACCGCGCGGGGGUUCGAAUCCCCCUUCCUCCUCCA
RNAcentral lists this transfer RNA (93 nucleotides) under Bacillus sp. V3-13. RNAcentral's name for it is "tRNA-Ser". It matches the Rfam family "tRNA". Rfam says of the family: Transfer RNA (tRNA) molecules are approximately 80 nucleotides in length. Their secondary structure includes four short double-helical elements and three loops (D, anti-codon, and T loops). Further hydrogen bonds mediate the characteristic L-shaped molecular structure. tRNAs have two regions of fundamental functional importance: the anti-codon, which is responsible for specific mRNA codon recognition, and the 3' end, to which the tRNAs corresponding amino acid is attached (by aminoacyl-tRNA synthetases). tRNAs cope with the degeneracy of the genetic code in two manners: having more than one tRNA (with a specific anti-codon) for a particular amino acid; and 'wobble' base-pairing, i.e. permitting non-standard base-pairing at the 3rd anti-codon position. The record is from RNAcentral. Lineage: Bacteria; Bacillati; Bacillota; Bacilli; Caryophanales; Bacillaceae.